GAUGAAGAACGUAGCGAAAUGCGAUAAGUAAUGCGAAUUGCAGAAUUUCCGUGAGUCAUCGAAUCUUUGAACGCACAUUGCGCCCAUUGGUAUUCCGAGGGGCAUGCCUGUUCGAGCGUCAUUUCAACCCUCAAGCACAGCUUGGUCUUGGGCUUCGCCGCUAACCCGGCGGGUCUUAAAAUCAGUGGCGGUGCCGUCGGGCCCUGAGCGCAGUAAUCUCUCUCGCUAUAGGGUCCCGGCGGAUGCUGGCCAGUAACCCCCAAUUUUCUAUGGUUGACCUCGGAUCAGGUAGGGAUACCCGCUGAACUUAAGCAUAUCAAUAAGCGGAGGA
RNAcentral lists this unclassified non-coding RNA (331 nucleotides) under soil metagenome. RNAcentral's name for it is "partial contains 5.8S ribosomal RNA, internal transcribed spacer 2, and large subunit ribosomal RNA". The stretch from base 1 to 121 matches the Rfam family "5.8S ribosomal RNA", at positions 35 to 154 of the family's 154-position model. The record is from RNAcentral.